RNAcentral lists this ribosomal RNA (980 nucleotides) under Scrippsiella sp. HJ-2013. Its description in RNAcentral is "eukaryotic LSU rRNA". The stretch from base 689 to 980 matches the Rfam family "Eukaryotic large subunit ribosomal RNA", at positions 1 to 292 of the family's 3401-position model. The record is from RNAcentral. Lineage: Eukaryota; Dinophyceae; Peridiniales; Peridiniaceae.
AUUCGGACUGCAGCAAUGUUCAGCUCCUGAAUGUUGCAGUGGAAAGUUUAGUGAACCUUAUCACUUAGAGGAAGGAGAAGUCGUAACAAGGUUUCCGUAGGUGAACCUGCGGAAGGAUCAUUCGCACGCAUCCAAUUAAUACCAUUGUGAAUUUUUGGCGUGAGGUUUUGUUUGGGGAUGGAGAUUGCAUCAAUGCCCCCAUGCAAAAGCUCAAAGGCGGCAGGGUUGGAUGGGUGCUUGUCACCUCCUUUCAGCUCUUGUCGUCACCUUCCUUUUGCUUGUAAUCUUUGCUACUUCUUUACCAGUUGAAGUGGUUGUCCACUUUCUUCUUACAACUUUCAGCGAUCGAUGUCUCGGCUCGAACAACGAUGAAGGGCGCAGCGAAGUGUGAUAAGCAUUGUGAAUUGCAGGAUUCCGUGAACCAAUAGGGACUUGAACGUACACUGCGCUUUCGGGAUAUCCCUGAAAGCAUGCCUGCUUCAGUGUCCACUUUAUUUCUUCCAGCAGCAUCUUCCACAUUUGUGGUACUGUUGCUUGGGUGUGCUUGUGUGUCAAAGUGCUUUGCUGCCUUUGACGCGUUCAAUGCAUGGGGAUUUCCUCUUGGCGCGCAACUUGCUAAACGUCGCUGACGCAACUUGUUGUUGUGCUUUGGGGCAACCUCCUUGAUUCAUAUGUUUCAUACAUGUGAAGACAUGAAGUUAGGUCAGCAAACCCGCUGAAUUUAAGCAUAUAAGUAAGCGGAGGAAAAGAAACUAAAUAGGAUUCCCUCAGUAAUGGCGAAUGAACAGGGAUGAGCUCAGUAUGGAAAUUGGGGCCUGUGGCCUUGAAUUGUAGUCUGGAGAUGUACCACCAACUGGGGCGCAGAUGUAAGCCUCUUGGAAAAGAGCAUCAAUGAGGGUGAGAGUCCCGCUUGGCAUCUGCAGUCCCCAGUGCACGGUGUACCUUCUAAGAGUCACGUUCCUCGGGAUUGGAGCGCAAAU